Molecule: ribosomal RNA, 253 nt
Filed under: uncultured bacterium
Lineage: Bacteria
Description: partial 16S ribosomal RNA
Rfam family: Bacterial small subunit ribosomal RNA
Source: RNAcentral
UACGGGGGGGGCAAGCGUGGUUCGGAAUUACUGGGCGUAAAGGGCGCGUAGGCGGCCCUCUAAGUCGAACGUGAAAUCCCCGGGCUCAACCCGGGAACUGCGUCCGAUACUGGAGGGCUCGAAUCCGGGAGAGGGAUGUGGAAUUCCAGGUGUAGCGGUGAAAUGCGUAGAUAUCUGGAGGAACACCGGUGGCGAAGGCGGCAUCCUGGACCGGUAUUGACGCUGAGGCGCGAAAGCCAGGGGAGCAAACGGG